UGUGUGUGUGUGUGUGUGUGUGUAUAUGGAUAAGGUUUUUCUAACCUCUGAAACACCGUUUUCGGCGGCAUAUGCAGCGUUCGUCUAAAUUGUUUCCGAGAUCAAUUAUUGAAUUGAGAUAUGUCGAACGUGCACACUGUGAACAGUAUUAUCAGCAAUAGGAACCGCGACUGCCUCGAAUGCAGAUUGUUGAGCGGUAGUGGUCUUGUCGCCGCCGGUUUAUACGUCUGUCAUCAUUCCAAACAGUACCAGAAUCAAGUACGAAAAGCAGCGAUGUACUCUGUUGCUUCUGUACUAGUACUCCUUGGUACAGCCAGGAUUUUCGACUUACCACCUUUUCAAGAUAAAUUUAAACGCAGCUGAGGAUUAAGUUACUUAAGCAAGUGUAAAUCCAGAGCAUUUUGUAGCAAUUGCACAUAAAACAAUAAAACUGAACAUGCCGCAAACAAGACAUAAAAUACACGAUUCUCCGGAAGCGCCGUCGGUGUGGUUUUACAGCGUGUUUUCUUUUUUCUUUUUUUUUUUGUCUCUGGCGAAUGAGUCGUGCACGACCGCAGAAACGAGCACGUUGCGUAUAUCGGCGAUUCGACGCGGUUCACCAGGCUGUGGAAACCAAGAAUUUCGUUAUUAACCCCCACGUUACGUAAUUCGCCUACAGGUCUGAGGAAAGAAAAACCGGGCGACGCCACACUCUUCGAAUGACAAACGAAGAAGGGAAAAAAAAAUAACGGAGAAAGGAAGGGAAACGAUGAGAAGACUGAUGUCACUGAUGAGGAGGAAGGAUCAAGAUUUCAUCCUCAUUUAAUAAAUCCAACGUUCCAGCCGCAAUGGAUGGUUCGCAAGAUGAGAGAAAGCAAGAACUCGAAGCGUGCUGCGCCCCUCGCACUCGGGAUUGCGUCACGCGUAAUUGCAAGAUCGUUCGUCCAUUCGUUUCAAAGAUCCCGGAGAACUUAAAGUAUCAUAUGUGUGUAGCGCAAUUUUUCCUGAAUUUCAUCGGCUUCAUAUUUCAUCAUUCACUGACGUUUUUCACUUAUAUAGUAAAAUAAAAUAAAACUAUAAUAAAAUUAA
RNA transcript from Pogonomyrmex barbatus (red harvester ant), 1068 nucleotides. RefSeq lists it as uncharacterized. Lineage: Eukaryota; Metazoa; Arthropoda; Insecta; Hymenoptera; Formicidae. The record is from RefSeq and is a predicted model, not a curated record.